RNAcentral lists this ribosomal RNA (505 nucleotides) under uncultured bacterium. Its description in RNAcentral is "partial 16S ribosomal RNA". It matches the Rfam family "Bacterial small subunit ribosomal RNA", at positions 28 to 507 of the family's 1533-position model. The record is from RNAcentral.
GACGAACGCUGGCGGCGUGCCUAAUACAUGCAAGUGGGACGCAAGGACACACACUGUGCUUGCACACCGUGUUUUCUUGAGUCGCGAACGGGUGAGUAACGCGUAGGUAACCUGCCUAUUAGCGGGGGAUAACUAUUGGAAACGAUAGCUAAUACCGCAUAAUAUUAAUUAUUGCAUGAUAAUUGAUUGAAAGAUGCAAGCGCAUCACUAGUAGAUGGACCUGCGUUGUAUUAGCUAGUUGGUAAGGUAAGAGCUUACCAAGGCGACGAUACAUAGCCGACCGGAGAGGGUGAUCGGCCACACUGGGACUGGGACACGGCCCAGACGCCUACGGGAGGCAGCAGUAGGGAAUCUUCGGCAAUGGACGAAAGUCUGACCGAGCAACGCCGCGGGAGUGAAGAAGGUUUUCGGAUCGUAAAGCUCUGUUGUAAGUCAAGAACGUGUGUGAGAGUGGAAAGUUCACACAGUGACGGUAGCUGACCAGAAAGGGACGGCUAACUACGUG